Molecule: non-coding RNA, 771 nt
Organism: Heterocephalus glaber (naked mole-rat)
Lineage: Eukaryota; Metazoa; Chordata; Mammalia; Rodentia; Bathyergidae
Source: RefSeq, a predicted model, not a curated record
UUGGUUUUCAUUAGAAUCCAUCAUUAUGUGUCCAUUUUUUUUUUUUCUUUUUUUGGUACCAGGAAUCGAACUAGGGUCCUUGUGUUUGUGCAGCAGGCGGCAAAACCAUUGAGCUAAAUUCCCGGCCCAUGUGUCCAUUUUUGAAGAUGAUGUGAUAUAUCAUGUUCACUCAAAUGUUAAGAUUCCUUUCAUACACAUAAUUCAAAUGUGGUAAUUAUUUUUCUUGUACCAAUAAUGUUUAAUUCUGUAUUUAAAUUUUCUUUCAGAAAGAUUCCUCGAUCCAAUCUCCAAAUAGUAGUGAGCUUUAAAAGGUUUUGUACAAUUAUGUGCAAUUUUUGUCCUUCGGGCACUAUUACAAACACUGAGUUAUUUAAUCUUCAUUGCUGACAGGCCAGGGGUGUUCCUGAGUUAUCGCACAUGAUAGGGAGACGAUAAGAUGUUGGCAGACAAAACGAAGAACACAGCACUCACGACCACUCCUCCAGACAGGGCAUGUUCCGUGCUCUCCUGGUGUGUGGCUCUGUUCAUAGUCCGAAGCUGGUCUGUUAUUGGGUCUGUCCAAAAAUUUCCCAAGAGGAGAGCACUAAAAGAACUAUGACCCAUGGGCACAAGAGAAGCACAGAAACCACCUGGGAUAAAGCCUGAAGCAGUUUGGCUCCACCAACAUCUGUAGAGAGCUUUCUGGAAGUUGCAUGAAGACCAACUUUACAACACAAAGCCAGUACUAACAACAGUACUCCACCCUUGUGAUCUGCCACACCUAAGAAGGCA